Long non-coding RNA from Suricata suricatta (meerkat), 737 nucleotides. RefSeq lists it as uncharacterized. NCBI's taxonomy places the organism in Eukaryota, Metazoa, Chordata, Mammalia, Carnivora, Herpestidae. The record is from RefSeq and is a predicted model, not a curated record. The transcript has 5 exons.
GGUCCCCUGGAUCCCGCCAUUGCUGGGAACACACCUGACUCUCACAAACGCCAAGGGGCUGAAGUUUCGCUGAAACGCAAACCAACCCCAGAAGUCCACCCAGGUGGUUGCUGUCACGCCGUGAGACACAAACCCAAGAGAUUAUUUUCUAUCAGAAGAAAGAUGGCAUACUUAAACCGCACUUGGAGAAGAUACGAGGUGUGCUGAACGCAGGAUACAAGAAAGACCCAAUAAUCUUGUGAGCUCACCAAAGGGUUGGAAAAGGUGGGUGCCAGAGAAUCCCAGAACUGGACUGAAAUUUUCUUGCCAGACUUAAAAAAAACAUCCUGAAGAGGAAAGUAUACACAUCCUUAAAGGGAACCAGAUACUCCGCCAGGCUGGACAAGCAAAACUCUCCAUAUUAACAUGCUUGUAACUGAAUACAGGUGUGUAUCAGAGACGAGGAGAAUUCUGAGCCUUGUUUGUGGCAAUUCUACCAGGAGGGGACUGCAUGGUGCCACCAUAAAUUUCAUAAAUUACCCUGAACAUACUCAGUUAUUCACUAUUUGUUCGGAGCAAAGCAUGAAAUAGUCUUCAAACACAUGAAUUACAGAUUUUGAGAGAGUGACAUUUUUAAACAUAAAGUGCAACAGUGCUGAAGUUUUCAGUUUUUGUUAGUUCUUCAUUGUUUGUAACUGCCAUGUCCUGCAAGCAGAACUAUGGCACAGUGAAUAUAACAGAAAGCAGUUUCCAACACA